RNAcentral lists this ribosomal RNA (851 nucleotides) under uncultured Actinomycetes bacterium. Its description in RNAcentral is "bacterial SSU rRNA". It matches the Rfam family "Bacterial small subunit ribosomal RNA", at positions 28 to 897 of the family's 1533-position model. The record is from RNAcentral. Lineage: Bacteria; Bacillati; Actinomycetota; Actinomycetes.
GACGAACGCUGGCGGCGUGCUUAACACAUGCAAGUCGAACGGUGAAGCCUUCGGGUGGAUCAGUGGCGAACGGGUGAGUAACACGUGAGCAACCUGCCUCUGACUCUGGGAUAACCCCCGGAAACGGGUGCUAAUACCGGAUAUGACCUCCUGUCGCAUGGUGGGGGGUGGAAAGUUUUUCGGUCAGGGAUGGGCUCGCGGCCUAUCAGCUUGUUGGUGGGGUGAUGGCCUACCAAGGCGGUGACGGGUAGCCGGCCUGAGAGGGCGACCGGCCACACUGGGACUGAGACACGGCCCAGACUCCUACGGGAGGCAGCAGUGGGGAAUAUUGCGCAAUGGGCGAAAGCCUGACGCAGCGACGCCGCGUGGGGGAUGAAGGCCUUCGGGUUGUAAACCUCUUUCAGCGCCGAAGAAGCGAGAGUGACGGUAGGCGCAGAAGAAGCACCGGCUAACUACGUGCCAGCAGCCGCGGUAAUACGUAGGGUGCAAGCGUUGUCCGGAAUUAUUGGGCGUAAAGAGCUCGUAGGCGGUUUGUCGCGUCUGCUGUGAAAACUCGGGGCUUAACCCCGGGCUUGCAGUGGGUACGGGCAGACUAGAGUGUGGUAGGGGAGACUGGAAUUCCUGGUGUAGCGGUGAAAUGCGCAGAUAUCAGGAGGAACACCGGUGGCGAAGGCGGGUCUCUGGGCCAUAACUGACGCUGAGGAGCGAAAGCGUGGGGAGCGAACAGGAUUAGAUACCCUGGUAGUCCACGCCGUAAACGUUGGGCGCUAGGUGUGGGGCCCUUUCCACGAGUUCCGUGCCGCAGCUAACGCAUUAAGCGCCCCGCCUGGGGAGUACGGCCGCAAGGCUAA